This 120-nucleotide ribosomal RNA is filed under the name Castor canadensis (American beaver). Lineage: Eukaryota; Metazoa; Chordata; Mammalia; Rodentia; Castoridae. The record is from RNAcentral.
UUCUACAACUAUACCACCCUGAUAUCGCCCAAUCUUGUCUGGUCUCAGAAGCUAAGCAGGGUCAGGCCUGGUUAGUACUUCGAAGGGAGAAAGAUCUUCAGAGGAGACUGCUAAUAGACA